GGGACAGGACACAGAUUUUGGGGACAGGACACAGAUUUGGGGACAGGACAGGGAUUGGGGAGAGGUCACAGGUUUGGAGACAGGAAGAAGGAUUGGGGAUGGGACAGGGAUUUGGGGACAGGAGAGAGAACUGGGGACAGGACACAGAUUUGGGGGACAGGAAGAUUUGGGGACAGGAUAGGGAUUGGGGACAGGAGAAAGAAUUGGGGACAGGACACAGAUUUGGGGACAGGACAGGGAUUUGGGGGACAGGAAGAAGAUUUGGGGACAGAACAGGGAUUGGGGAGUGGUCACAGGUUUGGGGACAGGAAGAAGAAUUGGGAAUGGGACAGGGAUUUGGGGACAGGAGAGAGAAUUGGGGACAGGAGAGAGAAUUGGGG
This is a long non-coding RNA of Oenanthe melanoleuca, 380 nucleotides long. RefSeq lists it as uncharacterized. The transcript has 3 exons. Lineage: Eukaryota; Metazoa; Chordata; Aves; Passeriformes; Muscicapidae. The record is from RefSeq and is a predicted model, not a curated record.